AUGGAGCCGGCUCGGGGGGCACCCGGGGGGCCGGGAGGAUCCGCUGGCAUCCUGGCCCGGGGCAGGGGGCCCCGGCUCGGGAGGGGGCCGGCCCGGCAGCGGGGAGCCUGGGGACUGCUGCGGGAGCGGCCGGCCUGAGCGAGAACAGCGGGCAGGAUGGCUGACGUCCCUGCAGGGCGCCCUCGGCAUGGAGUCCCCAUGACAACGAGAUGCGGCUUUCCAGGGACACCGAUUCCUAGCUCCAAACCUGCAAGGUCCCAGCAUGCCUUGCAAGGUGGGGGGGGCAGGGAUCACUCACCCUGCUGCUGAAAUGCAGCCACCUCUGGGGUGGGACGCACUGGAGAGGACGUUGCCGCAAACCCUGCUGCGUGGAUGCUGAACUCCCAGGAAGCAGACAGGGCGGUAGGAAUGUGAGAGCAGCAUCUGUCACCAGUUCACAACAGCGAAUAGUUUUGUCUGAUGGGGAAACUGAGGCACACAGUGACCUUGUCCAAGGUCAUACCGGGAGUCUGCGGUGGAGCUGGGAAUUGAGGCCAGAUCUCCUGAGUCAAAGCCCAGUGAAAGCUUCGUGCAUCCACGCUGUGCAGUACGAAUGAAAUACUCUCUAUUCCAGGAGUAACCAGGGAGGACUUAAACAGCAGCUGCUACAGCUAAACACUUUCAGAGCUGCAGGACCUGGAAAGCUUGUACCCAAGUGUUGUAAGAGAAUUGGCUGAGGAGCUCAUUGAGCCAUUAAUGUUGGUAUUCAGAGUUUUUUUAAACACCGGGAAAGUUCCAGGGGACUGGACAAAACACGACCAUUGUGCCAGUAUUUUAAAAUGAGAAAUGAGAUGACUUAGGUAACUAGAGACCAGGGGUCAGUAAACACCCUGGCAGGCCGGGCCAGUUUGUUUAUCUGCCGCAUUGGCAGGUUCGGCCGAUCACGGCUCCCACUGGCCGCGAUUCACUGUUCCAGGCCAAUGGGGGAGGCGGGAAGUGCCGCAGGCCGAGGGAUGUGCUGGGAGCCGCGAUCGGCCAACCCCUGCUAUAGACUGUUUAGCCUGACAUCAGUCCUGGGCACAGUCACCGCAGUAUUCCCCGUUUUGUAGUUGUGCACUCGAGUUUUCCUUCCUGAAGGGUUAAAAUCCAUGUGCAUUAUAUAACAACCUGGUACAUGGAUUGUGCCAGCUCUUUUUUUAGACCCAAAGUCCAGAGUUUGGUCAAGAGACCAGAGGUCCAGCAAAUAGUGAUUAGCUAAGAGAAAGCCGGGUAAACGAGAUAACUGCCUUUGCUAAGACAUGCGUGGUCAGUAGAAAUGCCAGAUGUUGAAGCAAUAACUGAAUAAUUAUGUUUCAUCCAAUGUUUCAAAUUGAACAAAGGAUCCCUGUUCCUAUUGUGUCAGUCUCUUCUGAAGGGAAGGUUCUUCCCACAGAUCCAACCUUGAGUAUAUGAAAAGUUGGCACAUGUCAGUAUAAGAUAUGGCAUCCUUCCA
Molecule: long non-coding RNA, 1471 nt
Organism: Mauremys mutica (yellowpond turtle)
Lineage: Eukaryota; Metazoa; Chordata; Testudines; Geoemydidae
Exons: 3
Source: RefSeq, a predicted model, not a curated record